CUUAGCUUUAUGCCUCAGAUUGUGUUACAGGAAAUAGCUUUAUGCCUCAGAUUGUGUUACAGGAAAUAGUUUAUGUAAACAUUUGUUAAACAUAGCAUGUUAGUUAGCUUUUUGUUGCGACAACAAAAUACCUGAGAAAAUCAACUUAGAGGAGGAACAAUUUAUUUUGGCUCAUGGUUUCACAAGUUUCAGUUCAUAGUCUCUUGGGCCCAUUGCUAUGGAUUUGUGGUGAAGCACAAUAUCAUGCAUGGCAGGGAGCACCUGGCAGAACAGAGCUGUUCAUCUCGUGGUGGCCAGGAAUGAGAGAGAGAGGGAAAGUGACCUGGAACUAGAUAUAUGCUUCAAGGCGACACCCACAGUGACUGACUUCUCUAAGGAGGCCCCACUUCCUACAGUUUCUACCACCUCCCUAUAGUCCAUUCAAUUACAACCCUGUCGGGAUCGAUCCCUUGAUGAGAUUAGUGUCCUCGUGACACAAUCAUUUACCAAAAGCCUCACCUCUGCACAUUGCUCUACGGUGGACCAAUACUUCAACACUGAUUCUUUGGGGGGAACAUUGUAGAUUUGAAUCAUAAUGAAUGGUAAAGCAGACUUUAUUCAAGGAGGACUACCUGAAUAGAUAUAGGGACCACUGCAACAGAGUCUUGAAGUGGGAAGAGAGAUGGGAUAAACUCCAGCACUAACAAUGACAAGCAGAGAUUCAUU
This 705-nucleotide long non-coding RNA is filed under the name Marmota monax (woodchuck). Lineage: Eukaryota; Metazoa; Chordata; Mammalia; Rodentia; Sciuridae. The record is from RNAcentral.